GUUAAAUUUCAAUCAAUAUCAAACCAUCUGUAAUAUUUCAAUUGCUAAAAAAAAUUCCAAGCUAUUUCCACUGAACGCGUUGCAUAGCAGCAACAACAAAAUGCCGACUAUAAAGUUAUGGAUUUGCUGAUGGGCAAAUGCAAAUGUAAAUGUAAAAUGAUACGCAAAUCGUAUUUCGCGCAAGUUGUUGCGAGUUUGCACAAAAUCAAUUAAAUCGAAAUGCAAAUCACCACAAAUUAGCUCCAAGCGCUACAGUUUCACAAAAUGCGGCUAUAACAAUUAUAAUUUUGAGAUUUUGUGUACUCCCAGGCGUAUGCGUAACGUACAUUAUUUUAUUUAUAUACAUGUACAUAUAUAUGUAGUUGCUUAUACAGCAUUCGCUUGUUCGAGGCUCUAUAUAAAAAUAUUAUCAUUGAGGAUUUCUUGAUACGAAUACAUAUCUAUUCUUCUAUAUGUCAAUUGAUGGUAGUGACUUUUUUGACAUAAAUACUAGUAAUAAUUUGUUCUUCUAACUUCUAACAAUCUUAUAUAGAUGAUAUAUAUGAUAUGAUCAGUAAUAUGUGAAAUUAUGUUAACUGUAAAUAUGUGUCUACAUUCUAUAUACAAAUGGAAGAUACAGCCGCUAAUAAAUUCAAUGAAUGAAUGAACACGUUACGAAGAAUCUGUGCAAGUCCCUUUUGAGAGGGAUAACAUACUUGCACGUCGGAUUAUAAUGAAGAUAUUGAGUUCUUAUUGAGGGGCGAUUGCUGCACGACUAAUUAUAUAACGAAGAAAAAUUAAUACAACUACAACUACUCUGAAUUGAUGAUAAUGAAAAACUUACGUUUAUACGUACUACGAUGAUAAAUUACCUCAUGUGUUACUGCAACUUACAAUGAAGAAAAAGAGCGUUAUGAAGGGCAGAUUUUUAAAACCAAUCGCAACCAUAGCAAGAUCAAAAUCCAAUUUAGUGUCAGUUCUUUAAAUGCAAUUUUGAAAAUUGCUUUGAAAAUUCAGAACUGUAACAUUUUCGCACGUACUUUUCACACUGAGCAACAACUGGGCUUAAGGAAAACUUUACAAAAUGAUGCACUUAAAGUUAUUAUUUCAACCGAUUAUUGCAACUGCCACAACGCACGAUUGCACAUUUAACGAUGCCUUUAUGUGUGUGCCACAGCCAUAUUUAAAUGAAAUUUUAAGUGCUCGACAUCAGAAACAGCCCACGCGGCGACCAAACAGCAGUGCUCGAGACAAGGAGAGAAGAUGAGAGCACACUUCGUUGUGGCAUUAUUAUAAUGACUGUUGCAGCAAAAUUCACAACGCACCUGACUCGCAUAACACUUUUAAGAGGAAGCUGCACGCUUUGAGCGAAUGUCCUGCCAGCUGCUGACAUUAGUCCAUUAGUGCACAAACAAACAAAGAAACGGAAAGCAGACAGAGCGUUGGAACUGAAUAGUCUAUAGUACACUGUUGAGAUGUUAGCCUGAUCUCAGACUAUGCCAGACAAAAUAUAUUUAAAUGUCAAAA
Drosophila virilis is the source of this 1506-nucleotide non-coding RNA. Lineage: Eukaryota; Metazoa; Arthropoda; Insecta; Diptera; Drosophilidae. The record is from RefSeq and is a predicted model, not a curated record.